GGGAAGUGAAGAUUGUGGUUUUAACUAGCUACUUAUGCUUGAUGAUUGUUCGCCCAACCUUUGUUACGACGAUAGAACAGUCUUGAAAUCAUCUGAUCCC
Molecule: small nucleolar RNA, 100 nt
Organism: Lucilia cuprina (Australian sheep blowfly)
Lineage: Eukaryota; Metazoa; Arthropoda; Insecta; Diptera; Calliphoridae
Rfam family: Small nucleolar RNA Z279/snoR105/snoR108
About the family: This family includes the plant snoRNAs known as Z279, snoR105 and snoR108.
Source: Rfam